Molecule: long non-coding RNA, 495 nt
Organism: Diceros bicornis minor
Lineage: Eukaryota; Metazoa; Chordata; Mammalia; Perissodactyla; Rhinocerotidae
Exons: 3
Source: RefSeq, a predicted model, not a curated record
AGGAGGAGGAAUCGCUCGGAACUCAUACAGGUGUCUUUUCUGACUCCUGGCAGGGCCUGCGACAUCCCUGUCUGCUGAGCUGAGGCUGCUGGCCUCAGACCAAGGCUCUCCUUUCCCUCAGAACCCGCAGUAAGGGGGCACCUGAGCCUAGCAGCCAUGCCUGGGACCUCCCAAGACUGACAGUAGGGGGAGGGGCUCUUUGUGGCCCCCUCUUUUGGGGUGGGUUUUCCCCUCAGUCCUCAUUCAGUGUCAUACGUUGACGCCUUGUAGGUUCUGAGCUACCUCGCCUCUGCUGACUCCAGGCCAAACCCAUCAGGAAGCCAGCCUCCGUGAUGUAAAGAAGCUUAUACCAGAAAACUGAAGGAGGAGACAGCACAUGAGGAUAGAGAGGCCACGUGGAAGAGCGUUGAGGUACCAGACAUCAAGAACACAUCUGCCCAUUGGCCCUGAUAAGCAUGCAGACCAUUAGUAGCAAUGAAGCCAGCUUGCUUUGCA